Long non-coding RNA from Gallus gallus (chicken), 3147 nucleotides. RefSeq lists it as uncharacterized. NCBI's taxonomy places the organism in Eukaryota, Metazoa, Chordata, Aves, Galliformes, Phasianidae. The transcript is spliced from 3 exons. The record is from RefSeq and is a predicted model, not a curated record.
CCCGAUCGCGGCCGCCAUCUUCCGACGAAGCCCCACCCUCCUUCCGGCCGGAAAUGACGUCAGCGACCCCUCCCGCCGUGCCUGACGGGAGCUGUAGUGUCUAAUGCUCUCGGUGUGGUUUGUCCUGCAGGCUGCGCUGCGGCGCACAGCGCCAUGACAAGAUCCGUUUCCCUGUGUUUUAUAGGAGCGGGAAACAACGCUCGGUGUGGUGAACGUUGAUUUGUCCUGGCCGUAAAUGAGUCAGUCAGAAAGCCGCGUUAGGGCUCGAGAUGUCGCUUCAGCUGCGUCUCACACAGUGUGCAUGGCAGCUGUCCUCCGCACAAGCAGGAAUUAGGUGGUAAAGCCACAGCACUCAUUUUCUAAAGGGUGAGAGGGUCUUUGGCUGGAUUCAGGGAAUGCCUUUUCCACUCUUUGCAUCAUGCUGCAAUGACAUGCUUGCUGUGAGCAGAGUUUGUUGGAAUUCAGGUGUAUGGAAACAUGGGAAGAAGAGAGCUGUGCUUGACCCUACUAUUGGGUUCUGAGUGCCUUCCGACAAGUCACUCUAUUCGUGGUUUACGUCAGGAUAGUGUAGAUGCACACGUUGAUUCAUAGCAGUGGAACAGGCUGCCUGGAGAGGUUGUGGAGUCUCCUUAUCGAGAUAUUCUAAACCUGUUAGGCUGCUUUCCUGUGUGGCCUUCUGUACGGAGCCUGCUUUAGCAGGGAGUUGGACUGAGCGGUCUCCAGAAGUCCCUUUCAACACCUCAAUUCUGUGAGUUUGUGAUUACCCAGUUGCCACUGCCUCUAAAAUGAGUGUCUGUUAAUAGGAAGAACACUGUAAAGUUACAGGAAAAUGAUCAGCCUGCAUUUCUUGGUGCAAGAGCAGUAGGCACCAACAGUUGGGACGAGCAGAGCAUCAAGUUGUGGCUGCACAAGCUGGGUUCUGGGUGACCUCACCUCCAUGACCAGCUACCUGAAGCAACUGGCAUCUUCUAAUCUCACAAAACAACUCACCCGGAUCCUGGUUGGCAGAUGGCUAAAGAUCAGAUCCAUAUCCAUGGAGAGAAAUACAGUGUGGGGCUGUUUGGCAAACAUCAUACUCUCAGCAACAGUAUAUUCUGUGACCUUGGACAUUAGUAUGUCUUUACUCCAAAACCCCAGUGUUUGCCCGAAGAAUGACGUAGUUUCUCCAUUUGUUUGGCUCAUGUGGUGACACCUUUAGCCUUCACAUGGACACAGUGAGAUGACUGAUUUCCACUCCCACUGAGCAGCACUGUCUUCAUUAGGGCUGCCUCUUGCUCCCUGAGCCUGUCUGUCCUAGAGGUGCAUGCCAAUGUCCGUGCUGGUGGGACAUCUAAACUGUCUACAUGCUGCCAGGAUCUGUAUUUCAUGACAGCCAGCAAAGAAGUUUCUGAGAAAGCUGAGAGUAUGAUCUAACUGAGGGCCUCGUGCUUGUGCUGUUCUCUUUUCUUUAAUUUUCUCCUCCUCGAUCCAUUCUUUUUUUUGCUGAAGAAUGCUCUGGCACGUGAUACUGGCAAGAAAGCUUUCCCUGCUUUAUGCUUUAUGGUUUUUUUUGUUGUUGUUUUGGUUUUUUUAAUGCUUUAUCCCACCCUAGCAAGAAAGGGAACCCCAAUACAUAUUAAGAUUUCUGAAGCACAAACACUGAAGCAUCUUUAAUGGAUUAAAAGUGUUUUUAUAAAAUAAAAAAUAAAAAUCUAAUACUCUACUGGGACCAAGAAGAUGUUAUAUUGAUAGUCUUCUUCAGGGUCACAGUGAAAAGCCAAGUCUGGUUCUUAUCACUCCCAGUUUAUUUAGAAGCUGUCACAGACAGGAAAAUACAUGGAAGCAUUUCUUUCCCUGUGUUGUCUAUUAUGUGGACUGAGUAACUGUUACAGAAAAGCUGGAGGAGUCUUCCUGAUAAAAAUUGUCCAGUAUUUUAACAGCACUGUAGUUAAUCCCCUGUAGCCCCUUCCCACUCUUUGUUCUUUCAGGAUUACAUAUAUAGCUUUUCCAUAUGAGUAGUGGCUAGUGUGUGGUUUCCAUUCCUUCUAAGCCAAAAUUCAGCACAGAUAGCACUAGUAUUACAAGUCCUAGCAGAGAUUUGCUCACGCAAAAGAAGUGCGGAAACCUCAUGGCUGAGUUCCUCACUUAAUUUAGGAAUUGCAGCCAUUUCAUGUGGAAUGAGCAGUCACUCCAGGUAAUGUCACUGUAGGGUUUAGUGCUAUUAACAUGCAGGACCAUGCUGCAGACCGUGAUCCACAGAAAUUCGUAGUGAAGUAACAUUAAAAACAGACUUACUGGAAAAGAGCUCUGUAAUCAUAGUUUAGGGAUACUUACACCUCUGAAGUUAUAGUGGUAUUGUAUCUCCACAGCAGGUAAGAGGAAUAACCUUGUGCAGUGAGGGGAAUGCAGUGUGCUUUCGUUAAACACAGAAACUAACCUGUCUCAUAAAAGAUAUCAUUACCCACACAAAAUUUUCUUCAGCAAAAUCAGUGCAUCAGCUGAACUAUAAACCUGUUUCACCCAGCUGGUGUUUGAACUUAUAGUACUGUCAUCUCUCUCAGCUUUCCAGUCACCUAACUUGUUUUGGAGUUUUGUUUUUGUCUGUUCGUUAGUUUAAGCCUUUUUCAGAGUAACAUAAUGCAGCUAUGGGGCUGUGGCUAGCAAGAUGUCUGUCUGUGUGAACACCCUUGGUAGAGGGCUACAACUGCUUCAAAAGAGAUUGAACUUGUGGCCAUGGGCAGCUGACUUCAAAGUAUACAUCACAGCACAGGAAAGCUGGAAGACCUGUGUGGUCCUAUGCGGAGUCUGGAGUUGAAUUCAGUGAUCCUUAAAGGUUCCUUGCAACUUGGGGUAUUUUGUGAUAUUCCUCUCUCACUAAUGUGGCAUGGCAGAAGUGAAUAUUGUAUUUGAAUGGCUUGAAUGUUUUGCCAGUAUUGAUUCUUCAAGCUGAGGUUACCACAUAAAAGUUGACAGAAGUAUUCUGCACGUUAAAUAAGUUUUUAAUAUGUUUAAAUAAGACCACCGGAGUCUUUCUUUAUAGGAGGCUUAGGCAAUUUUCUAUGCUUUAUUUUGUGGUUUUGCUUUUGACAGUACCAAAUGUAUCAUUCGCAAGUAGUGGAUUUUUACUGCAGAAGUCAAUUUAAUAGCUGUCCUUGUAAUAUGCCUGUA